This 296-nucleotide signal recognition particle RNA is filed under the name Aotus nancymaae (Ma's night monkey). Its description in RNAcentral is "Metazoan signal recognition particle RNA (ENSANAG00000001092.1)". It matches the Rfam family "Metazoan signal recognition particle RNA". Rfam says of the family: The signal recognition particle (SRP) is a universally conserved ribonucleoprotein. The record is from RNAcentral. Lineage: Eukaryota; Metazoa; Chordata; Mammalia; Primates; Aotidae.
GCUGGAUGCAAUGGCACGUGCCUGUAGUUCCAGCUACUUGGGAGGCUGAGGCAGGAGGAUCGCUUGAGUCCAGGAGUUCUGGGCUGUAGUGUGCUGUGCUGAUUGGCUCUCUGCACUGAGUCUGUCAUCAGUAAGGUGACCUCCCAGGAGCGCGGGACCACCAGGUUGCCCAAGGAGGAGUGAACCGGCCCAGAUCCGAAAUGGAGCAGGUCAGAACUCCCAUGCUGAUCAGUGGGAUCACGUCUGUGAAUAGCCACUGAACUCCGGCCUGGGCAACAUAGUGAGACCUGGUUUCU